This 75-nucleotide transfer RNA is filed under the name Limosilactobacillus oris. RNAcentral describes it as "tRNA-Ala(cgc)". It matches the Rfam family "tRNA". From Rfam's summary of the family: Transfer RNA (tRNA) molecules are approximately 80 nucleotides in length. Their secondary structure includes four short double-helical elements and three loops (D, anti-codon, and T loops). Lineage: Bacteria; Bacillati; Bacillota; Bacilli; Lactobacillales; Lactobacillaceae. The record is from RNAcentral.
UGGGCCAUUAGUUCAGUUGGGAGAAUGUCUGCUUCGCAUGCAGGAGGUCGCGAGUUCGAAUCUCGCAUGGUCCAU